GACAAAUAAUAAAUGAAAAAAAUGUUGUUUUGAUCAAGUCAUAAUAAAAGUUAGUGUCAGUUAUUGAGGUUUGAAUGAUUAGAUAUGAUACUAGUAUAUUAGAAAUAUUAAGUUGGUGGUAAAUAAACUUGACUAAAAUAUAUAUUAUUUGCAGUGAACAUUGUACAUGUGAUAGCCUUAAGUCUUUUCAGUGAGGUAUACAUUGGUACAUCACAGUAAUAAAUAAUUUCCCUUAAGCGGAGCUUUGAUUGCAACACAUUUACUAUGUGAACCAUAAAAAUGAUACAGAACAACAAAAUGUUGUCAUCUCUGUCAAUACUGAUGAUCUAGUACAUUAGGUAUAAAUACAGAUUUUACAAUAAUGGUGGUUUACAGCCAUAACAGUGAGAAGGUAGAUACUGAUGUCAAAGGUCAAAUCUGUAGAAUUGAUAUUGAACGUAACAGAAUGACAAAGGUAACGCAUAAAGGUAGGAGAAUAAGGUGAAAGGUCAGAUCUAUAUAGGGGAAUGAUGUCAAUUCAAGGUCAGAUCUAUAUAGGGGAAUGAUGUCAAUUCAAGGUCAGAUCUAUGUAGGGGAAUGAUGUCAAAGGUCAGAUCUGCAUCUGUAAAAAGAAAGGUCAGAUCAGUAGUGGAGGAAUGGUAAAGGUCAGAUCUGUAGUAGGGUAAUGGUAAAGGUCAGAUCUGUAGUAGGGUAAUGGUAAAGGUCAGAUCUGUAGUAGGGUAAUGGUAAAGGUCAGAUCUGUAGUAGGGUAAUGGUAAAGGU
Long non-coding RNA from Pecten maximus, 762 nucleotides. RefSeq lists it as uncharacterized. The record is from RefSeq and is a predicted model, not a curated record. The transcript has 2 exons. Lineage: Eukaryota; Metazoa; Mollusca; Bivalvia; Pectinida; Pectinidae.